UUAAAGAUGACGAUAGGAGCAAAAAGUGUGAAAGUAGAAUCUAGUCCUAUCUCUUGAGAGAAGUGAUGGGUUUGGCACUGCAAAGAGAAUCCAUGUUGGGAGAUAACUUGAAAAGGAGAGCCACAAGGGAGGGGUUGGUGUCGGGCACGCCUAGCUUCUUCAAACUUGUUUGUUUCUUGAUUCCAACAGUACUCAGAGAUGCAAAAUUUUUAUUUUAGUGGGCGGUGAACAUUGGCUUCAUUCCCUUUGGCGUUUUCCCAUGUUCCCACAACUCACACCUUAUUCUCUUCUCUCAUGCCCUCCAAAAUGUGCAUGCAGUGAUCUUUCGGGUAUUAACACUCAAUUCUAUGUCCCCAUAAACCUUCUCUUCCUCUGUCACCCUUUGUGCCCAUUCU
Molecule: long non-coding RNA, 395 nt
Filed under: Glycine max (soybean)
Lineage: Eukaryota; Viridiplantae; Streptophyta; Magnoliopsida; Fabales; Fabaceae
Description: long non-coding RNA (GMAX_LNC003441)
Source: RNAcentral